Molecule: ribosomal RNA, 406 nt
Filed under: uncultured bacterium
Lineage: Bacteria
Description: bacterial SSU rRNA
Rfam family: Bacterial small subunit ribosomal RNA
Source: RNAcentral
AAUGAACGUUGGCGGCGUGGAUUAGGCAUGCGAGUCGUGCGAGAACCGUAGCAAUACGGGGACAGCGGCGAAAGGGAGAGGAACACGUGGAUACCUACCCUCAGGUUCAGGAUAGCUAUGGGAAACUAUAGGUAAUACUGAAUAAUAUCUCCGGAUCAAAGGUGUGAUUCCGCCGGAGGAGGGGUCCGCGUCCUAUUAGCUAGUUGGUGAGGUAGUGGCUCACCAAGGCGAAGAUGGGUACGGGAUGUGAGAGCAUGAUCCCGCUCAUUGGGACUGAGACACUGCCCAGACACCUACGGGUGGCUGCAGUCGAGAAUCUUCGGCAAUGGGGGAAACCCUGACCGAGCGACGCCGCGUGUGAGAUGAAGGCCUUCGGUUGGUAAAUCACUGUCGUAGAGGAGGAAGU